RNAcentral lists this ribosomal RNA (253 nucleotides) under uncultured bacterium. RNAcentral describes it as "partial 16S ribosomal RNA". It matches the Rfam family "Bacterial small subunit ribosomal RNA", at positions 524 to 776 of the family's 1533-position model. The record is from RNAcentral.
UACGUAGGGUGCAAGCGUUGUCCGGAAUUAUUGGGCGUAAAGAGCGUGUAGGCGGCCCGAUUAGUCCGCUGUGAAAGUCCAGGGCUCAACCCUGGAAUGCCGGUGGAUACUGUCGGGCUAGAGUCCGGAAGGGGCGAGUGGAAUUCCUGGUGUAGCGGUGAAAUGCGCAGAUAUCAGGAGGAACACCAGUGGCGAAGGCAGCUCGCUGGGACGUGACUGACGCUGAGACGCGAAAGCGUGGGGAGCAAACAGG